UCCCCGGUAGCUCAGCUGGUAGAGCAACGGACUGUUAAUCCGUGGGUCGCAGGUUCGAGUCCUGCCCGGGGAG
This 73-nucleotide transfer RNA is filed under the name bacterium. Its description in RNAcentral is "tRNA-Asn". It matches the Rfam family "tRNA". Rfam says of the family: Transfer RNA (tRNA) molecules are approximately 80 nucleotides in length. Their secondary structure includes four short double-helical elements and three loops (D, anti-codon, and T loops). Further hydrogen bonds mediate the characteristic L-shaped molecular structure. tRNAs have two regions of fundamental functional importance: the anti-codon, which is responsible for specific mRNA codon recognition, and the 3' end, to which the tRNAs corresponding amino acid is attached (by aminoacyl-tRNA synthetases). tRNAs cope with the degeneracy of the genetic code in two manners: having more than one tRNA (with a specific anti-codon) for a particular amino acid; and 'wobble' base-pairing, i.e. permitting non-standard base-pairing at the 3rd anti-codon position. RNAcentral also lists the same sequence under 1 other name. The record is from RNAcentral.